This is a long non-coding RNA of Hevea brasiliensis (rubber tree), 609 nucleotides long. RefSeq lists it as uncharacterized. The transcript is spliced from 2 exons. The record is from RefSeq and is a predicted model, not a curated record. Lineage: Eukaryota; Viridiplantae; Streptophyta; Magnoliopsida; Malpighiales; Euphorbiaceae.
UAAAUUGAAAACGUGUGGCGUGACCCUUGUGUCGGUUCUAGAAGCCCACUCAAAAUCUCUUAUCUACCCAAAAUUCAAGCAGAAAGAGCCAACCCUUCUAGAUUACUAUAAUUAAUUAACCAUUAUAAUUGUCAUCAUUUCAUAUAUAUAAUUGAUGAUUUUUUGUAUACCUCCAAAACCCUCAGCACCCACUUGCCUUGAUUUUUCUUAGUAGAUUGGCAUAUAUAAAUCUAAGACAUCAUACCCACUUGCUUCCCAGAAACAGAAGAAUAUGGGUAUGUUUUCUAAGUCUCCUCUGCUUUUUCUACUUCUUGUACUCUCAAUUUCCUUCCCCCAGAAACCAAGAAUCACAGAAGCAAGAACGCUUUCUUUCCUAGCUGAACAAAACCAUUCGAAGAUUUUUGCUACUCUGGGAGUUGUUUGCAAGUGCUGUGAUGGCGGCCAAGGUGAAUGUACAAGAACAUGGAAGAAGGGAUCUUGCCAUAAGCUUCAAUGCCUUCCUUGGAAGAUAGGCUAAAAAUUGUUUAAUUUCCUUCAAUUUUGUAUUUUUUUCGUGCUUGUACAUAGCCAUAUGCAAUGAAGGAAACAAUCUUGAGCCUGUUUCAUAUA